GCCAACAUGGCAUAGUGGUUUGAGUCUUAGACUAUGACUCUGGAGACCAGAGUUUGAUUCUCAGCUUGGCC
Molecule: transfer RNA, 71 nt
Filed under: Phrynosoma platyrhinos (Desert horned lizard)
Lineage: Eukaryota; Metazoa; Chordata; Lepidosauria; Squamata; Phrynosomatidae
Description: tRNA-OTHER
Source: RNAcentral